GGUUUGGCACCUCGAUGUCGGCUCAUCGCAUCCUGGGGCUGUAGUCGGUCCCAAGGGUUGGGCUGUUCGCCCAUUAAAGCGGUACGCGAGCUGGGUUCAGAACGUCGUGAGACAGUUCGGUCCCUAUCCGUCGUGGGCGUAGGAAAUUUGAGAGGAGCUGUCCUUAGUACGAGAGGACCGGGAUGGACAUACCUCUGGUGUACCAGUUGUCGUGCCAACGGCAUAGCUGGGUAGCUAUGUAUGGACGGGAUAAGUGCUGAAAGCAUCUAAGCAUGAAGCCCCCCUCGAGAUGAGAUUUCCCAACUUCGGUUAUAAGAUCCCUCAAAGAUGAUGAGGUGAAUAGGUUCGAGGUGGAAGCGUAGCGAUACGUGGAGCUGACGAAUACUAAUCGAUCGAAGACUUAAUCAACAU
RNAcentral lists this ribosomal RNA (411 nucleotides) under Staphylococcus pseudintermedius. RNAcentral's name for it is "partial 23S ribosomal RNA". It matches the Rfam family "Bacterial large subunit ribosomal RNA", at positions 2515 to 2925 of the family's 2925-position model. Lineage: Bacteria; Bacillati; Bacillota; Bacilli; Caryophanales; Staphylococcaceae. The record is from RNAcentral.